CCAGAGCCCCACAUCAACAAGAGCCGUGCUGAAUUCACAUGGCCACCUUCUGCGGCGUUAUGGACCGCGGGGCGCACGCACCAGGCGAGGAAGCCCCGCUUGGUGGAUAAGAUGAGUGCUGCAGAGCGUGUUAAAAGAUUAAUUGACAGCAUGUUUCAGAUAUUUCCAGAUGAAAUACAAUUCAAUUGUCUUGUACUCUUCAACAAAUUUUAAGCUUGGAUUAUGUAUCACGGAUAAUCAGUGGAUGGGAAUCCUCAGGGACAACAAAUAAUUCUUAUUAUUUGGCGAGCUGCAACUUCUGAUAAACAAAUCUGCUCAGCUACAUUGAGAAUUUACAAAGAAGUCUAAAGUUUCUAUACAAUUCAUUUUACAUUGUACCCCAAUUUGCUGAUAAUUGAUCAGUUUGAGGGGUGGAAACACAUAGAUUCCUGGAGAGUUGUAUUUUUGUCAUUUCUAGUAUAUGACCUAGAUUGACUCCAGCAACAUGAGAAAAAAUAAUCAUUUUUUCUGAAAUCCUCUUCGUCAGAGAAAAAUUAGGAGGAAAAAAAAGUUAAAGGUUUGAAGCACUGAAUUGCUGAUGGAGUCUCUGGAAUUAUUUCCUCAUAGCCUAUAAAAAAAGUGUUAAUCUGCCACUAUAGCCUGUGGUUUUGGAAGACCAGGGUUUAGAUAUAACAAAACUUCUCAUUGCUCUCAAGUUGUUAAAACCCGAGCUGAGAAUGAGUUAAAGCAAAGUUACAGGACCAGACAAAUAAUGUCCCUUUAAAAUAAAAGUUGUUAGGCAAAGCUUUUGUCAGGGUCUGAAACUUUGCAGGAGGAAUACUCAAAACAGAUUUAAGUCCAGCAAGUCAGCCCUCUGAUUAACAGAAGCAUGAAGAAUUUGUUAUUUCAUAUAAACAUAUAUGAUUCAUAUGUGAUCAAUUGUUUGAUUGAAUUAUAUUGAUGUCCUGCAUAUGUUCAUUUUGUAUGAAAUAAAACUGGUUAAUGGUUAAUAAUUUGAACCGCCUUGUUUUGUCAGAUGAUUUCCAAGUCCCUUUCGGAAAAAAACAAAUAAGCUAAAAUAAGUGAAAGAAAAAAAAACUCUUGUUCAGAUCAUGUG
Long non-coding RNA from Leucoraja erinaceus (little skate), 1096 nucleotides. RefSeq lists it as uncharacterized. The record is from RefSeq and is a predicted model, not a curated record. Lineage: Eukaryota; Metazoa; Chordata; Chondrichthyes; Rajiformes; Rajidae. The transcript is spliced from 3 exons.